Molecule: long non-coding RNA, 2511 nt
Organism: Oreochromis aureus
Lineage: Eukaryota; Metazoa; Chordata; Actinopteri; Cichliformes; Cichlidae
Source: Ensembl
CUUUUCAAAGGUGGAGUCAAAGAUUCAAACACUGAACAUCGUAGUUUUGAGAUGUAUAAUAAUAAUAAUGAUGAUAAUAAUAAUAAUAAUAAUGAGCAGAGUGUGAAUCUGUAGGCCUCCAGUGAAACCUACAGCUGCGUUAGAUUGAGCAGCUCUUUGUUACUUGAAGUUAAAACAUCGUCUGAUUAUUCUUCAUGUUGGUUUUAAUCACUGAAAGAAAAAGGAUUAACAAUCCAAAAUGAAUCAAUCAUUUUGAUCAGCCCUAUUUCUGCUCGAUUAACAAUAGAUAACCAUUAGGUGUCACAUAAGAUAAAGUAUCCUUAGUGUCAUUCAGAAUUAUUAGAGCUCUUUUUUCUUUUAAUUUACUUUGUCCAAACGAUUUCUAAAUGCCAUGACAGGAAGUACAGAAACAUGUCCUCAGAGUGGCUUGAAACUUGGAAAAAUGACUUCUCUGGAAUGUCAGCUGACGGCAGAGACAGAAGAAAUGAAGUUCAAGCAGAAAGAAAUCCUACAGCAGCUGAACCAACUUGGCAGAUCCCGAACAAACCCAGAGUCCGACGUGGAGGGGCUCCGUGAAGGUGGUCUCUACCUUUUGAAGGAGAGUCAUGGAGUCGGAGACGCUGUGGAAGGACAGGAUUCCUGCACUCUGAUCCACGUACACCCCGAUCUUGCUGGACUGAGAGACCUGAAGGAAGGUGGUGGUGCUGUCAUAUCUGAACUCGUUAUUGUGACACCACAACGCUCACGACUUGUCAUUGAAUCCGAAUCCACUCUCACUUCCUGUUCUGCUGAUGCUCUUGUAGGCGACCGCUAUAGCAACAAACUUGCUCCACUUCACCUCCCAGUAACACCGUCCACUCAGAGCCUCUUUGCUGAGGACCUGAAGGCUGUCGCUGAAUCUUUCUGGGUGAUCAGGGUACGACUGCUCCUUCUUCAUGUACGUGACCUUCCUGUUCCCCUCAGACAGUGACAGCCAUUUGCUCACUGUAUUUGGAUCCAGCGUGAUUGGACACAUAUACUGUAAGAAUUCAUUUCUGGUCUUGGGCUCUGCCGGCGGUGCAAAAGGUAGCGGCGGUGUCACCAAAGCUGGGUGUGGUGGGGCCAAAGCCGUGGGCUCUGCUGGUGGCACUGAAGAUGUUGGUGACACCAAGUGUUGUUGCGGUUGUUUCAAAAAGCUCUUGGGCUCUGCUGGAGGCACCACAUGUUGUUUCAAUGAAUUUCUGCGUGCUGCUGUUGCCAGAAAAGAUGCUGCUGUUAGAUGUGGUGCUGGUGGAAAACGGGGUUGUUUCAAGAAACUCUUGGGCUCUGUUGUUGGCACCACACGUAGUUGUUGUUGGAAGGCUGCCGAUUUGACUACUUCUUCUUUUUUUGUUAUGAAAGAUGGCGUGGCUGGUGGUGGUGGCACCACACGUAGUUCUUGGAAGACUACAGGUUUGGGUUCUUCUUUUUCUACAAAUGAUGGUGGUGCUGGUGGUGGUGGCACCACACGUAGUUGUUGUUGGAAGGCUGCAGAUUUGACUUCUUCUUUUGUUAUGAAGGAUGGUGGUGGUGGCACCAUAUGCGGUUGCGUCCCUGAACCCUCAAGCUCUGCUGGUCUCAGCGGCGCCUCUCCUUGGGUCCAGCCCUGACUCAGAAGGUCUUGGAGUUUGUCUUUGAGCUGAGACACCGCCGCCGUCACCUCCUCAAAGCUCGAAGGAGGGACGUUGACGCUGGUGUGUGUAGAUUUGCCGAGUGCUGACAGCAAGUAGAAAGUGAGUAGAAAGUGGUGGUGGUCCUCGGUGUAUGAAAGCUGCUUCAGCUCCCAGUCUUUCUUCUUUAACUCGGCGAUCUCGUUCUGCACCUUCUCCUCGAGCUCUUUGACCCGACAAGUUUCGGUUUCCUGCUGGAUUCUGAUCUGCUGCUGCACUUCGGAGCUUCGUCUCGCGAUGAGUUGGGCCAGCUGGCUGAACACCGUCUGGCUAUUCCUUGCUGCUUCAUCGGCAGAACUCCUGAUGACCCCCACCUGCUUCUGAAGCACCAUCAGAUCUUGCUCCAAGUCUUGGAUUCUCCGCUGAAUGUUUUGCCGACAUGGGUCGAGCUCAGUCUGCCUCUCUGCCCGCUCUGCUGCCAGUGACACGACGUCGUGGCCUUUGUGUUCGCUGAUAGAGCAGAGGUAGCAGAUACACUGCUUGUCACUGCGACAGAAAACUUUCUUCACUUUGUUGUGGAGACAGCAGAUUUUUUCUUGGAGGUUUGCUGAGGCUUCAACCAGUUUGUGGCUCUGGCCUGGGAAUCAUAGUGAGGCUGGAGAUGAUCGUCGCAGUAGGAGGCCAGACACUGCAGACAGGACUUGGUGGCUCUCUGCUUCCUUCCAGUGCAGAAAUCACAGGGCACAUCUCCAGGUCCAGCAUAGUUGUGAUGAACAGGAGGAGCAGCUUGGAGCAGCUUGGAGCUCAGUUUUCUUCAGCUCCUCCACCAACUCUGCUAACAUGGUGUUUUUGCCCAGCACUGGCCUCGGUAUGAAGGUUUUCC